This 253-nucleotide ribosomal RNA is filed under the name uncultured bacterium. RNAcentral describes it as "partial 16S ribosomal RNA". It matches the Rfam family "Bacterial small subunit ribosomal RNA", at positions 524 to 776 of the family's 1533-position model. The record is from RNAcentral.
GACGAACCGAGCGAACGCUGUUCGGAAUCACUGGGCUUAAAGGGCGCGUAGGCGGGCUGCCAAGUCUGUGGUGAAAUCCUCCAGCUUAACUGGAGAACGGCCGUGGAUACUGGCGGUCUCGAGGAAGGUAGGAGCAAGUGGAACUGUGCGUGGAGCGGUGAAAUGCGUUGAUAUGCACAGGAACUCCGGUGGCGAAGGCGACUUGCUGGACCUUUUCUGACGCUGAGGCGCGAAAGCUAGGGGAGCGAACGGG